GCGAACGGGUGAGUAACACGUGGGCAACCUGCCCUGCACUCUGGGAUAACUUCGGGAAACCGGAGCUAAUACCGGAUAACAUCCUCCUCCGCAUGGUGGGGGGUUGAAAGUUCCGGCGGUGCAGGAUGGGCCCGCGGCCUAUCAGCUUGUUGGUGGGGUAGUGGCCUACCAAGGCGACGACGGGUAGCCGGCCUGAGAGGGCGACCGGCCACACUGGGACUGAGACACGGCCCAGACUCCUACGGGAGGCAGCAGUGGGGAAUAUUGCGCAAUGGGCGAAAGCCUGACGCAGCGACGCCGCGUGAGGGAUGACGGCCUUCGGGUUGUAAACCUCUUUCAGCAGGGAAGAAGCGCAAGUGACGGUACCUGCAGAAGAAGCACCGGCUAACUACGUGCCAGCAGCCGCGGUAAUACGUAGGGUGCGAGCGUUGUCCGGAAUUAUUGGGCGUAAAGAGCUCGUAGGCGGCCUGUCGCGUCGGAUGUGAAAACUCGGGGCUUAACCCCGAGCCUGCAUUCGAUACGGGCAGGCUAGAGUUCGGCAGGGGAGACUGGAAUUCCUGGUGUAGCGGUGAAAUGCGCAGAUAUCAGGAGGAACACCGGUGGCGAAGGCGGGUCUCUGGGCCGAUACUGACGCUGAGGAG
This 641-nucleotide ribosomal RNA is filed under the name Streptomyces sp. I14A-00831. Its description in RNAcentral is "bacterial SSU rRNA". It matches the Rfam family "Bacterial small subunit ribosomal RNA", at positions 98 to 753 of the family's 1533-position model. Lineage: Bacteria; Bacillati; Actinomycetota; Actinomycetes; Kitasatosporales; Streptomycetaceae. The record is from RNAcentral.